AGUGAACGCUGGCGGUAGGCCUAACACAUGCAAGUCGAACGGCAGCACAGUAAGAGCUUGCUCUUACGGGUGGCGAGUGGCGGACGGGUGAGGAAUACAUCGGAAUCUACUUUUUCGUGGGGGAUAACGUAGGGAAACUUACGCUAAUACCGCAUACGACCUACGGGUGAAAGCAGGGGAUCUUCGGACCUUGCGCGAUUGAAUGAGCCGAUGUCGGAUUAGCUAGUUGGCGGGGUAAAGACCCACCAAGGCGACGAUCCGUAGCUGGUCUGAGAGGAUGAUCAGCCACACUGGAACUGGGACACGGUCCAGACUCCUACGGGAGGCAGCAGUGGGGAAUACUGGACAAUGGGCGCAAGCCUGAUCCAGCCAUACCGCGUGGGUGAAGAAGGCCUUCGGGUUGUAAAGCCCUUUUGUUGGGAAAGAAAAGCAGCAGGUUAAUACCCCGCUGUUCUGACGGUACCCAAAGAAUAAGCACCGGCUAACUUCGUG
Molecule: ribosomal RNA, 492 nt
Filed under: uncultured bacterium
Lineage: Bacteria
Description: partial 16S ribosomal RNA
Rfam family: Bacterial small subunit ribosomal RNA
Source: RNAcentral